Molecule: ribosomal RNA, 273 nt
Filed under: uncultured bacterium
Lineage: Bacteria
Description: partial 16S ribosomal RNA
Rfam family: Bacterial small subunit ribosomal RNA
Source: RNAcentral
CACGAACCGUACGAACGUUAUUCGGAAUUAUUGGGCUUAAAGGGUGCGUAGGCGGCGUGGUAAGUCGGGUGUGAAAGCCCACAGCUCAACUGUGGAAUUGCGCCCGAUACUGUCAUGCUUGAGGGAGACAGAGGCGAGCGGAACUGAUGGUGGAGCGGUGAAAUGCGUUGAUAUCAUCAGGAACACCGGUGGCGAAAGCGGCUCGCUGGGUCUCUUCUGACGCUGAGGCACGAAAGCUAGGGUAGCGAACGGGAUUAGAAACCCCCGUAGUCC